RNAcentral lists this ribosomal RNA (253 nucleotides) under uncultured bacterium. RNAcentral's name for it is "partial 16S ribosomal RNA". It matches the Rfam family "Bacterial small subunit ribosomal RNA", at positions 524 to 776 of the family's 1533-position model. The record is from RNAcentral.
GACGUAGGGGGCCAGCGUUGCUCGGAAUUACUGGGUGUAAAGGGUUCGUAGGCGGUGUGGCAAGUCGGGAGUGAAAUCUCUGGGCUCAACCCAGAGUCUGCUUCCGAAACUGCCGUGCUUGAGUGUGGGAGAGGCGCGUGGAAUUGCAGGUGUAGCGGUGAAAUGCGUAGAUAUCUGCAGGAACACCCGUGGCGAAAGCGGCGCGCUGGACCACUACUGACGCUGAGGAACGAAAGCUAGGGGAGCAAACAGG